This 23-nucleotide non-coding RNA is filed under the name Cricetulus griseus (Chinese hamster). The record is from RNAcentral. Lineage: Eukaryota; Metazoa; Chordata; Mammalia; Rodentia; Cricetidae.
CUGAAAAACACUGUUCUGAGGCU